Molecule: unclassified non-coding RNA, 200 nt
Filed under: Echinoderma sp.
Lineage: Eukaryota; Fungi; Basidiomycota; Agaricomycetes; Agaricales; Agaricaceae
Description: partial internal transcribed spacer 2
Source: RNAcentral
UUAAGUUCAGCGGGUAGUCCUACCUGAUUUGAGGCCAAGCAUUCAUUAAGUUUGUCCCAUAAACAGGACUAUUAUAAGCUGAACAGACAGAGAGCACGUCCGUCAUUGUAUUGGCGCAGAUAAUUAUCACACCAGUGACAGACCCGCAAACGGUUCCGCUAAUGCAUUUCAGGGGAGCCGACCUUGAGAGGCCAGCAAGA